GACAGAGGGUGCAAACGUUGUUCGGAAUUACUGGGCGUAAAGCGUGUGUAGGCGGCUACGCAAGUCGGAUGUGAAAUCCCCGGGCUCAACCCGGGAAGUGCACCCGAUACUGCGCGGCUUGAGUACCGGAGAGGUUGGUGGAAUUCUCGGUGUAGAGGUGAAAUUCGUAGAUAUCGAGAGGAACACCGGUGGCGAAGGCGGCCAACUGGACGAGUACUGACGCUGAGACACGAAAGCGUGGGGAGCAAACAGG
RNAcentral lists this ribosomal RNA (253 nucleotides) under uncultured bacterium. RNAcentral's name for it is "partial 16S ribosomal RNA". It matches the Rfam family "Bacterial small subunit ribosomal RNA", at positions 524 to 776 of the family's 1533-position model. The record is from RNAcentral.